This 461-nucleotide ribosomal RNA is filed under the name uncultured Saprospiraceae bacterium. RNAcentral's name for it is "bacterial SSU rRNA". It matches the Rfam family "Bacterial small subunit ribosomal RNA", at positions 338 to 795 of the family's 1533-position model. The record is from RNAcentral. Lineage: Bacteria; Pseudomonadati; Bacteroidota; Saprospiria; Saprospirales; Saprospiraceae.
CCUACGGGUGGCUGCAGUAGGGAAUAUUGGACAAUGGACGCAAGUCUGAUCCAGCCAUGCCGCGUGAAGGAAGAAGGCGCUCAGCGUUGUAAACUUCUUUUGGACGGGGACAAACCGCUUCAUUUAUGGGGCGCUGAGGGUACCGUCAGAAUAAGCACCGGCUAACUCCGUGCCAGCAGCCGCGGUAAUACGGAGGGUGCAAGCGUUAUCCGGAAUCACUGGGUUUAAAGGGUGCGUAGGCGGCCCGAUAAGUCAGUCGUGAAAUCGCUGGGCUUAACCCAUGCAAUUGCGAUUGAUACUGUUGGACUUGAAUGAGGUUGAGGUAGGCGGAAUGUGGCAUGUAGCGGUGAAAUGCAUAGAUAUGCCAUAGAACACCGAUUGCGAAGGCAGCUUGCUGGGCCUUCAUUGACGCUGAGGCACGAAAGCGUGGGGAGCAAACAGGCUUAGAUACCCCGGUAGUC